CCAGAACCGGCAGACGUGCAACUACAUCCGCCCUGGCCGCUAUAUCUGCACCUGCUCCCCGGGUUAUUACGGCAACAACUGCCAGUAUGGUGGGCCCCGUGUGCCUGGUGCCUGCCUCUCCCACCCAUGCCAGAACGCGGGCAGCUGUCUGGAGACCGAGCGGGGUUAUGUCUGUGAGUGCCAGGAGGGCUACACUGGACAGGACUGUCGAGACCAGCUCUCUGAGGGAUGUGAGUGUCGUAAUGGGGGCAGUUGUCUGGAGGGGAACGUCACCGUCUGCCAGUGCCUUCCUGGGUUUUUUGGUCUCCUCUGUGAGUUCGGUAGGUGAAAGCUUCUU
RNAcentral lists this long non-coding RNA (337 nucleotides) under Malurus cyaneus samueli. Its description in RNAcentral is "lncRNA (ENSMCSG00000002256.1)". The record is from RNAcentral. Lineage: Eukaryota; Metazoa; Chordata; Aves; Passeriformes; Maluridae.